GAUGAACGCUGGCGGCGUGCCUAAUACAUGCAAGUCGAGCGAACGGACGAGAAGCUUGCUUCUCUGAUGUUAGCGGCGGACGGGUGAGUAACACGUGGAUAACCUACCUAUAAGACUGGGAUAAAUUCGGGACACCGACGCUAAUACCGGAUAAUAUUUUGAACGGCAUGGUUCAAAAGUGAAAGACGGUCUUGCUGUCACUUAUAGAUGGAUCCGCGCUGCAUUAGCUAGUUGGUAAGGUAACGGCUUACCAAGGCAACGAUGCAUAGCCGACCUGAGAGGGGGAUCGGCCACACUGGAACUGAGACACGGUCCAGACUCCUACGGGAGGAAGCAGUAGGGAAUCUUCCGCAAUGAGCGAAAGCCUGACGGAGAAACGCCGCGUGAGUGAUGAAGGUCUUCGGAUCGUAAAACUCUGUUAUUAGGGAAGAACAUAUGUGUAAGUAACUGUGCACAUCUUGACGGUACCUAAUAAGAAAGCCACGGCUAACUACGU
RNAcentral lists this ribosomal RNA (496 nucleotides) under uncultured bacterium. RNAcentral's name for it is "partial 16S ribosomal RNA". It matches the Rfam family "Bacterial small subunit ribosomal RNA", at positions 28 to 506 of the family's 1533-position model. The record is from RNAcentral.